AUGGGCUCCUAUAACAGUAAGCUUUGAGGUUUAUUAAAAAACAGAAUUCACCAGGCCUGUGCCAAACCUUUGAGAUUACAGAGAUUGGAUGUCCUGUGAUAUCACAACAGAGGAUUUGCAAUGUCAGGCUUUUGGAAGCUAAAUUAUGUGAUCAUUCAAGUUGCCUCAAGGUUUUAUUCUUUGCCUGAAGUUGUAGGGCAUGGGUAAGUGGAAUUAGUCAGCAG
This 224-nucleotide long non-coding RNA is filed under the name Parus major (Great Tit). RNAcentral describes it as "lncRNA (ENSPMJG00000009502.1)". The record is from RNAcentral. Lineage: Eukaryota; Metazoa; Chordata; Aves; Passeriformes; Paridae.